This 1821-nucleotide ribosomal RNA is filed under the name biogas fermenter metagenome. RNAcentral's name for it is "bacterial LSU rRNA". It matches the Rfam family "Bacterial large subunit ribosomal RNA", at positions 1225 to 2925 of the family's 2925-position model. The record is from RNAcentral.
GUGGUAGGGGAGCUUACUGCGACAGGCAGAAGGUCGACCGAGAGGACGGCUGGACGAGGCAGUAGUGAGAAUGCCGGAAUGAGUAGCGAGAGUAAAGUGAGAAUCUUUACCGUCGAAAGCCUAAGGUUUCCUGGGGAAGGCUCGUCCGCCCAGGGUAAGUCGGGACCUAAGCCGAGGCCGAAAGGCGUAGGCGAUGGACAACAGGUUGAAAUUCCUGUACUACCGUUACUCGUUUGAGAGAGGUGGGGACGCAGGGGGAAUAGUUAAGCGAGCGACUGGAAGAGCUCGUCCAAGGGAGAUAGAUAGUCCGGCAGGCAAAUCCGCCGGAUGUUUCGAAGUCCUGAUGGGGAGGGAAAAUAAAGUACCGAAGUAACGAUUUCCGCACUGACGAGAAAAGCCACUAUCGAGAGUAAAGGUACCCGUACCGCAAACCGACACAGGUAGGUGAGGAGAGAAUCCUAAGACGAGCGGGAGAAGCGUUGUUAAGGAACUCGGCAAAUUGACCCCGUAAGUUCGCGAGAAGGGGUGCCAAGGCCAGAGAACGGAGAACAGAGAGUCAGAGAGCAGAGAAAGGGAAGAAGGACGAUCUGUUUUCAACAGAAGAAAGAAACGGAGAUAAAAAAGCAUCAUAUCUGUUUUCUGGAGAUCUGUUCUCUGUUUUCUGGAAUUGGCCGCAGUGAAACGGCCCGAGCAACUGUUUAUCAAAAACACAGGUCUCUGCUAAAUCGAAAGAUGACGUAUAGGGGCUGACGCCUGCCCGGUGCUGGAAGGUUACGGGGAAUUGUUAGCCUAAAGGCGAAGCAAUGAACUUAAGCCCCAGUAAACGGCGGCCGUAACUAUAACGGUCCUAAGGUAGCGAAAUUCCUUGUCAGGUAAGUUCUGACCCGCACGAAUGGCGUAAUGACUUGGGCACUGUCUCGACAACGCGCCCGGUGAAAUUGUAGUACUCGUGAAGAUGCGAGUUACCCGCGACAAGACGGAAAGACCCCAUGGAGCUUUACUGUAGCCUGAUAUUGGGUUUCGGUAUUUUUUGUACAGGAUAGGUGGGAGACUGAGAAGCGUGGGCGCCAGCUUACGUGGAGUCGUCGUUGGGAUACCACUCUAAAAGUGCUGGGACUCUAACCAGAGUCUGUGAACCAGGCUUGGGACACUGUCAGGUGGGCAGUUUGACUGGGGCGGUCGCCUCCUAAAAGGUAACGGAGGCGUCCAAAGGUUACCUCAGCGCGGUUGGAAAUCGCGCACCGAGUGCAAAGGCAUAAGGUAGCCUGACUGUGAGAGGUACAUCUCGAGCAGGUACGAAAGUAGGGCUUAGUGAUCCGGUGGUAUGAAAGUGGAAUUGCCAUCGCUCAACGGAUAAAAGCUACCCUGGGGAUAACAGGCUUAUCUCCCCCAAGAGUCCACAUCGACGGGGAGGUUUGGCACCUCGAUGUCGGCUCAUCGCAUCCUGGAGCUGUAGCAGGUUCCAAGGGUUGGGCUGUUCGCCCAUUAAAGCGGUACGCGAGCUGGGUUCAGAACGUCGUGAGACAGUUCGGUCCCUAUCUGUCGCGGGCGCAGGAUAUUUGAGGGGAUCUGUCCCUAGUACGAGAGGACCGGGAUGGACUGACCUCUGGUGCACCAGUUGUCAUGCCAAUGGCACAGCUGGGUAGCCAAGUCGGGAAUAGAUAAACGCUGAAAGCAUCUAAGCGUGAAACUAACCCCAAGAUGAGAUAUCCCACCAGCAAUGGGUAAGACCCCAUGCAGAUGACGUGGUUGAUAGGUCAGGUGUGUAAGUGCAGUAAUGCAUUGAGCUAACUGAUACUAAUAGGUCGAGGGCUUGACCAA